This 6325-nucleotide long non-coding RNA is filed under the name Xyrichtys novacula (pearly razorfish). The record is from RNAcentral. Lineage: Eukaryota; Metazoa; Chordata; Actinopteri; Labriformes; Labridae.
GGUUAAGGUUUGCACAUGGAGACAUAGACCGCUGUGUAUUGCGAUACUGCGAUCUUUACUAAAGUUGGUAUAACCAGAGAAGCAAGCAGUCGGCAACAUUCAUCUCUCUCGGGGGUGUCUAACUUGGUGUUACGGUGUGUUUAACCCUAAAUUAAUCUUAUGCUGGAAUAUCCCUUUAAAGACGCCAGACUCCAUAUGAACUAUAAACACACACCAUACUCCUACAUGUGCCAUCCUGCAGCAUAAAAGCACUAUAUUCACUUUACCUGAGCACGUUUGAGUCAAGUCAAAAGUCUGUCCAUGUAAAAUGAAGCAGAAUUUAAGUACAACAUAGCAUAUUACUUAAAUACUCCAACCCUAUCUUUACAUGAUCACAUCGUCUCCAAAUAGGAAACAAAUUUUGCAGAGAAAGUGUAAAAACAUCCAUGGUAUAAGUCUGAAUGUCAGAGUAAAGCAUAUUAGAGUAUUGACAGGCCUGUUUGUUCAGUCUGUGCCGUAAACCACAGGAUGCAGGUCGAUAAUGGGUUAUAAGCUGCAUCACAUUUUGAGUAAUUUACUGUAUGAAAAGCACUCAGGUUGAUGUAUAAUUGAUGCCUAAGAAUUUAUAGAUAACGCGCUCAUCCUCUCUUGUGCUGAUUUGCUUGUAUUUUAAUACGAGGGCUAAACAACAUGGACUCAUUGCUCAAGGCAGCUGCUUGGCGCUGAUCCAGUUUUCACCACAGAGGGAAGAGCGAGACAGAGAUAAAGGAGAGGGUGGAUCAAUGCAGGGUGGAGAGACACGCUGUGUAAUGUGGAGCGGAUUUAUAAUACAGUUUUUAACAGCAUCACACAGAGAAAGAUUGUGUUUCCUGAAAGGGGAGGAUAUUUUCCGUCUGUGUUCUCAUCUCGUUACUCAUAAACAUCGAGUUUCUUCGUCUGGUUAUUUAAACCAUAAAUACUGAUGAUGAGGAGCCUCUGACUUAGUUUCUGCUUUUCUAACAGGGAUUUAAUGACCAGAUAAAUCACUUUCAAGAACAUUAAUAUCAGCAUCUCAAGAGUCUCCCUGAGAAGUUAAUUCAAUAUUACAUGAUUACAGAAACACCCAACUUUGCUUUCCUGUCAAAAUUUUAAUGGAAGAAGUUGACAUCAGAAGAUUCAGCUCGUGGUCAUUAGAUACAGAGCGAGAGCUAAAAGAUAUCUCCCUAGAUGGACAAUCAGUGAGUUUACAUGCACAGUCAGAUUAGAGGAUUAAACUGGACUUCGGUCUUUAUCUCAGUUUACAUGCAAUGGGCAAAAGUUGAAUUAUUGACCGGCGCAUGUCCACCUCUGCGACAGUAGGUGGCGACAUGCUAUUGCUAUUGGGUUGUCCUGUGGUUAAAGUAUUACAUACAUAGACUGUAUAUAGAAUGGACGCUGUUUGCCUUCUAGCUGGGUGAAGCCACAGCGAGAACAGCACCCUCUGGUGACGGGCUGCAGUAUAGAUCAUAAAUCCUGCCUCCUCCAGCAAUCCCUAUGGAGCUGUGGACAAACUUUAGAAAUUAAUCACACAGAAUGUUAAUUUUUAUCCCCCCUGAUUGCGAUGUUGACAUGUAGUUACUUUAACACUGGUUUGUGCUCAAGUCCUCUUUUUUCUGUAAAGCUCAAUUUUUAAAAGUUAUUAGGGGUUCAUGUUUUCUAUGAUUGACACUUGAAACAGCCUAUGGGCGUACAAGAUUGCGUAGCUCACCUGGGGGAUACACUGUUUUAGCCACAAGUGGUGGUUCCAGGAAGAGGAGAAAAUCACAGAAAUACUGAGAGCAAUUCGGCUUCAAAUUCAUAUAAUGACGGAAGGUGGAGCCAAGUUGUCCAUAGCAUAUAAAGUCUAAGAUUAUACAUCAAAACACUUGGCAUUGUGUUAGCAAGAGGCUAACGGGAUGAUCAAAACAUUGUCAUUUUUAAAGCUCUGUACUAUUUGUCUUUGCAUUAGGAAAUUUCCAUAUUUUAAAUGUCCUUAAUUCAUCUGUUGAGUUCUUUUUUUUGUACUUAGCUUUCUAGCAACGCAUAUUUCAUUCAUUCAUUGAUUUCAGCAAUGUGCAGUUUCUAUACAGCUGUUUAGCUCUUCUUUAAGUUUGCAUUAAAAAAACAUAUUUUCUGCAACACAUUCUGUUGAUUGAAAAGCUCAGUGUUUCUGUUUGGAUGCGUUAAAUCCUAGUCAUCUUUUUUUUACAGUUUUUUUAAGGCUUUCUUGCACAUGCCACUUUGAAGCAUGUUUCUGUUCGUUGCCAGCAGAGUAAAGUCACGAGUGCAGGCACUGUCAAGCAGUACAAAGCCAAUAUGAGCAAUGAAUUGUUUUAUUUGCAGGCUGCGACUUGCCUUUUUUUCACUGUCUCUGAGAGGAAGCUCAAUCCAAACAGUUGGACGGCUCUUCAAAUGGCUCCAGACUCAACAUCAGGGCCAAAGUGAAUGACCCAGCUGAGAUCUUAUCCUCAUUCUUGACUGUUACAUGUGGUCUUUGUUUAGUUGUGCCACUCCCAACAAAACAGCCGCUCCUUUUUGCUCCUCGGUAGAAGUGGGGCAAGUGCAAAUCCAUGAAAUAUGUAAAGGGUAAAUCUUAAGCCUGCCCGUCAUUUUCAGCUGCCUAGGGACCAGGAAGAUUAGGGUUAAGAGGAGGAAGAGGGUGGAUGAACAAAUACUCCAUCAGUCAUUACUGCUGCUGACCCAGAUUCAGGUCUCUGUGUAAAACUUCCAUGCAGUUUUGGGCGUUUUUCCCCUCUUACGUGCAUCCUUUACACCUAUGUUAUGUCUGUUUUCAACACCUUCAGACCUGAAUGCGGUAAAAAUGUGAUUAUCAUCAUGUAGCCCUCUGAUUUUAAGGAUUACUGAUUGAAUAUCUUACAUUUUAUGUUUGAGAAUCUCCGUCAUGACUCCAUUUUGAGUCAAUUUUGCUUGACUUUGAACCUCACAGCCCUAAAUGAUCAACAUGGCUGAGAAAUACACUCAGGAAUCACCAGAGCUGACAGGGGAGAAAUAGCUAAUCUUUAGUGGACAAUAAUUGAAUCAUUGCAUGAUUAAUAAUUGAAAAGAGAAAAAGAAGAGUGAGGCAGCAUCUUCAGUCAGACUCAGACAGCUUAAGUUAUUCAGAGUCUCUCUGGGGCUGCUAAAGACCUCUGCUGCUGUGGAGAGAAUUUUAACAGAAGAGAUGGUGAAGUGGUCUGUGAGCUGCUCUGGUGUCAUUACAUUUAUUUCAGUUUGCAAAUUAGUUGCAUUUGUAUGUAAGGUAGUAGUUUGUAAUUUGAUUUUUUUGCAAAAAGAGUCGAGUGCAUGGUCAUUUCUGAACCUUUAGUGCAGCCAUGUUUGCAGGAUGAACAGAAUAUGACAGUGUAGUUUGCCUCACAUAGCUGCUCCUGCUCCUUUUUAUUCUUGUUUUUAGCUUUUUUUUUUUGUCUGACACACCAUCUUCCAUGAGCACUCUCUGGAAUGUAUAGUAGUCGACACUUAGAUCUUAAUCUCUGCUAAUCUUCCUAAAAACCCAUCUAAUUCUAAAAAGUAAUCUUAUCUCAUGUCUCAGUUCAGAAUACUGUGAAAUAUCAGAUUUUCCAGUUGAAGCUAAAAUAUUAAAAAGUCAUCAUGUUUCAUUUGCAGCAAAGACUCACAAGCACAGCUAUCUCAUACCAAGAGGGGGGUUCACUUCACGUGGUGGGUGGGCGAUUGCUCGAAGCACGACCAUUGAAAGACAGGAGACAUGGGAGUAAGAGCAAGAAAGAGAAAAUACAGGGACAAAAAAAUACAGAAAGAAAAAAAGUGGAAACCCCAAAGAGUGGUGGAGAAAUUUCAGAGAUACUGAGAGAAGCUUUCUUUCUUUCAAGGACUGCUGUCUCAACAGAGAGACCCAAAACACAAAGAAGGAGCUGUAUUUUCUGCUUAACAUUUUUUAACAACAUGAGUUUUCAUGAUGGAGUAAUAAAACUACUGUAAAUAAUAUAUGAUAAAGAGAGUUUGUAAAAAAAGACGUGCCAUUAUGAAGAGGUUUCAGCAUAUUCUGUAAAUUUACAGUGACAUUGGCGAUACAUCAAGACUUCAAGUUAUUAAACCAUUAACCAGUGUCAUAACCUGACACGCCAGACAGACUGUUUUACAUAUCCAUGACAUGGGAUGUAUUUCACAUCCAUCUCGGCAAUACCCUAUGAGCAGUGUUUGAGAAAGGCAGAGUCCUCAAAAACAAACCAAAUGAGUUAUUAUGAGUGAAUCAGAGCAUAAAACGUAGUCGGCAAAUGCUGCUGUGGUGGGAUGUAAAGCCAAGUCCUCAAAUGAACCGACUAUUGCUGCGUUCGAGUUACCUUGGAAGUCAGAUGUCGGAGCAGAAAAUGAUGUCACUCCCGAGUCACCAGCGUUUCAGUUACCAAGUCAGAAAAAAGGAAAAAUCGGAGGUGGAAACAAGAUGGCUAAAUCUACGAAAGUUAUUUUAUUGCUUGCCUUGUCCGAAUAUAACAAGGACAAGGUAAGCAAUAAAAUAACUUUGGUAGAUGUACCCAUUUUGUUUCCAUCUCUGAUUUUGCUUUUUUCUGACUUGGUAACUGAAAUGCUGGUAACUCAGGUGUGACGCCAUUUUCAGCUUUAACAUCUAACUUCCGAGGUAACGCGAGCGCAGCAUAUUGCCUUCCAGCUCCAGUCCUCUCUGCCUCAGUUGUAAAAUCGAAGUAUCACAGCCGUUUUUCUUUCUUGUCUUUUAGGCAAAUGUCAACUUGAUAAUAAAGACAACCCCAGUUAUGGUUUGUAGUUGAGGUUUCGGAUGGGAGGAUGAGUCUCUGGUCUUGAUCAACUCAUAUUUCCCAGUCCUUUGUUGCAUCCAGUUGACUUGCGUUAGAAGGCAGAUUGGUUAGCCUGUUACCUCCUCCUUUAUUAGAUGAAGGAUGAUUGGUGGGUGACUGGUUUUCUUGUCAGAAAUGUGAUGGUCUCACAACUGACUGAGGGUUAUUAGAACCAGACUUUGGAGACAGGUUCCAUGUUCUGAGAGCUAAAGGAGUUUGAACUUUAUGUGGCCCCGAUGAAAAAGUAAAGUCUGUCAGUUCCCAUGAUCUAAAGCAUAUUCCAUGUGGUUUUCAUCCCCUCUUUGCAAUCUCUCCUCAUCUUUGGACCCCACCUGGCACUUAUGGCCAAGGACUUCUUCCUUACAAGAAUUCUUCUCAAGGUUUCAUUUAAGUAGUUUUUGAUUUGAUCCCAGGAUAUCGCCUCCUGUAUCUUGGAGGACAUGACCUGUUAUAUCAAGGUGUAAAGGUAGGUCUUUACAUCAAGCACUGCGGCCACCAAUGUCCAUUUCCUCCCUGUCAUUAGGAUUGGAACUCUGCCUCUUACCAAGGGAGGGGAUUAAGUUUCAGUUGCACAGAGGGUUGAUGUAACCCUUUGAAAUGGUCAGCUCUUCUUAAUACUUUUAUAAAUAAUGUGGUACGAGAACAAAAGAAAAGCUCUAGAGAAAAUCUAGGCUGUGAGGAAAAAGGAGUAUUUUAGCUUUUUAAGUUGAUCAUGAUUUGGAGCUACCAGAAUUGAAGGUAGGGUAGGCAGGAUCUGAGGAAGUGUUUUGGGAGAAAUCUUGAAUGUACACGCUUCCCGUAGCGUCCCCUAUCAUUGUUGACAAGGCUUUUUAGCUCUUGUCCGGUCUACCUCCCUUUUAAGCGCCCAUUAUUCCGCCAGAGUCUCCGGUAUUUACUUAGUUCUCUUGCUUGUGUUGGCAGUCGUGGUCAAAGGAGGAUUCAGACAAUUUUCCGUACUUUAUGGUUGGUGUCUACUGUCCGAUAUUGUAGCACGCUAACUUUGUUUGGGCUUGUGUACGACUCGGGGAAGCAGUCUCUGCCUCACUACCAAUCAGUACUAAGGAGUAGCGACCGCCUCACAACCGAUCAGGUCGGGGAGGUGAAGAAUGGCGUCGUUUACAGUCAGAAAGAGCGGGCCACUUAAAAGUUUUUAAAUGUUGACUACACAGACAUAACAAAACACAGCGAUAUCGUUAUAUUCCCAAAUAACAUCAAUAACUAUUGACUGAUAUUAAAAGCUUUUUUGUAUAUACACUACAAAAAAAGAUGCUUCUUUAACGGAUUUCUGCCUACCCCACCUAUAAAGUGGCAUGUUAGCAGUGUUGCCUAACUGCAAGAGGUUCCCGAGUUCAAAUGGCUUGGUGCCGUUCUGCCUGGAGGCUUGGCGUACCAGCUGAAAGCCAAGCCUUUAAUGUAAGCCUACAUGACUGCAUGACUUUAGGAGUUCCAUUCAAAAGCAGCGCAAGGCCACCUCUAGAUCCGCCCCUGCUGGGAUGACAGUUGGGGACCCUUGCGGUCUUGAGGCCCCACUUUGGAGCACUCCUGCAACACACAGCGCG